AGUGGGCAAUACUAAUAAAUUGGUAACGUGCGACUAUUCGUUUCUAAAUAAAAACCCACUGUUAUUAGCCUAUUAUCACUCAUCUUCUUCCUCAUCUUGGGUUUCUUUUCCUCUUCUCGCGUCUCUCUAUUCUUCCAAGUUCCGACUGUAGAUUGCUAAAAAAGAAUUCAAGGAUCCCAGAAAGACCUUCGUAUGAUUUCUUAUUGUUCACCAGCCUACUAUCGGACUCAUAAGUGAAAAUUAUUUUAUGAAUUUGGGAUUUGUGCUGAUGUAUUGUUCGAAGGAGCUGCAAUGAUUUGAUCCAAGGCCUGGGUAUUAAUUUCAUCUCUUCUCCAAAAUCCCAAUGGAGUGUUUCGCGUUUUAUAAUACAAAUCUAGAGCUGGGGAUCGUCUGAGUCUGAAAAAUUGGGGCAUAUACCCUUCUUCUUAGUAGGAAAAGCCUCAAGUGCACACUCCGAAUAUUCUCAACAACUAUUCCGUCUGCUUGAUGCAAUUUAGGGUGCUACGUCUAAGGAUAAGACAUAUAAGUAUUGUAUUGAUUACCUUAGUGGAGGGCAAUGAGAAACUCAAGAAAGGCCUCAAACCGGCAGUUAAAAACAUGUUUCGUUUGAUUUCAUAGAAGAAAUAUAUAUCGGGGAACCAAUGUGUGGAAUACUGGAGUGCCUCAACGACAGCUCAAUGACUUUGUGUUGUUGUCUUAUUCAGUACAAAUUCAGGUUUCAGGUGCACUAUGAAUUUUCUUCUAUACAAACAUAAUAACCAGGGAGAUCUACAGUUUGGCCUUGGCCCAAGAUGAAGAAAACUUUAUAAAGUAGAAUCCGUGACUAUCCCGGAGCUUUCCAUUUAGACGUACUUCCAUCAUCUACCUCAUGUCACUAAUUUAUAGUUUUUCUUAAUUAUUUCACUCCAGCUACGAAGUAAGGGAUCCAUUGACCGCUGCUUAUGAAAGGUCGGUAAAUAGACCAAUAUUUUCUCAUCUGUCACUGGCAUUGUCCUCUGCCAGAACCACUGACGUUUCCUCCUAUUUUUGGCAAUGGAGUGGGUCAACAUGGGGAAGUGUUAGGAAGCCCAAUUCCAGGGUCCCAGCCGGGAAGGAGUUCACUUCAUUCAUUUGGUUCCCAUGGUAGCAAGACUACCGUCUAGCAAUGUUGUCUCGCCAUCCAUAGAUAAAAGUCCGAGUAACUUUCGAAAAUUUGGGAGGGAUAGAGGAGCUGUGGGGAUAGGUUUACUUCGGGACUGGGGUUUUAGGAAGGAAGAAGUAGAUUCACCGCCAAAACUAUGCAUAGUGUUGAAUUAAUUACUCAUUUUUCUUAUUACUUCUUUUGGGCAUACUUCACUGUCAAGACUCUAUUAUGAUUCACAUUACAUUUUUUCGAGGCCACUUAAAGCCAGCCUUCUCUAUAGCCAUAUCUUUUCCGUUGGGAGGUAAUGCCAAAAAAUGGGGAUGUUGUGCUGGAUGUUGGAAAAAUACUAGUGGACACAAAUUUAAAUUGUCAGGUGUUUAGACAUUUUUCUCAUAGACCAACAACAACUAUGCUUCAGCCAUAGCCGCGAAAAAUGUAUGUUAAUGGGGGAAUUUUUUUAGGUGCCUAUGUUGUUUGUAUUUAGCUGAUGUUCACCCAGUGAUUUACCCAUGCACCUUUGUAUUUCAUUGUGAAUGCAAAAGAUAU
This is a long non-coding RNA of Papaver somniferum (opium poppy), 1669 nucleotides long. RefSeq lists it as uncharacterized. Lineage: Eukaryota; Viridiplantae; Streptophyta; Magnoliopsida; Ranunculales; Papaveraceae. The transcript has 3 exons. The record is from RefSeq and is a predicted model, not a curated record.